Molecule: non-coding RNA, 1893 nt
Organism: Taeniopygia guttata (zebra finch)
Lineage: Eukaryota; Metazoa; Chordata; Aves; Passeriformes; Estrildidae
Source: RefSeq, a predicted model, not a curated record
GCCUCUGAGCAGAUCUGUGCUCCUAUGCAAAGCUGCACUUUCAUUUCCCCAGUGGCUCAGCCUGGAUAUUGAUCACGAGGUAUCACCCUCAGACACCUACACAGUGAGCCCAGAAAUGCUCAGCAGGUAACCAUGUCUAACACACAAAUAACCCCAGCCAGAGUGCUGCUCUCAGAGGACACAGCAGGGCCCCAAAGCCUGAAUCAGCUCCACCUCUGUGCCAUCUCCCCCACCCAGAUUCCUCUCCAGGAUGGUCCUACAGCAGAGCAGGACUUGCAUUAUGCCCCAUUCCAGCAAUCAGAUCAGUGCACGCAGAUCUCAGCCCAGGCAGCGUCCCGCUCACUCCAGAGGUCUCAGGCCAAGGAUCCAGCUGCAGGAGGGACCUCAGCUGUGAGCUCCAACAUCCAUGCACCAAACUGGGUCUUAAGUGUUUACAAGGCAAUGCAGCUGACACCUCCCUUUCCUCUUUGGGCUUGGUUGGUUUUAUAUGUUCGAUAAUCCCUCAUCCUUUUUUUUUUUUUUCCUUACCUCAUCUUUUAUAUUAAAUCGUGACGGUUCUUGUCUGCUUCGGUUUGACCUCCUAACCCCAUAAACAUCAGGAUAUUCUUCCCACAUCUGCAAAAUAAACAGACCAUCAGAAGGCCUGCUUCACCCCAAUUAUUUUUGACAUUUUAGAGAAGUUUGAUGGUGGCUUAAAAAUAUAUAAACCAGAAACCAUUAGGGAAUUAGCAACCAGCAGAUGGACAGUUUAAAAAACUGGCUGAAAAGGAUUAUUAUUAUUUUGGGAUAUUUGACAGCUCUCUAAAGGAGCAUGUGUUUAUCUCAGUGUUAUCUUUACAGUGGUCCAUCUUUCCACUGAGGUACAAAUCACUCUCCAGCUCUCUCAGGCUGAAGGACAGAGUGUUGAGGUAACCAGCCCUCUGCAGCACUGGUGCCAAACGAAUGAAGGCAAUACCUUCAACAUGGAAUGAGCAGACCUACCAACUCAACAGGGCACUUCUCUGUCACUAACAGCUUCCAGCAUAAUUCCUUUCCUGGUGGAAAGCCCCACCAGCUGCCUGGAGACACGGCCAGCUGCAGCUUCAAAGGUGAAUUCUGUGGCCCAGUCUGGAUGGCAAAUGGAGCAAGAUACCCUGUCAUUUGGCAAGGCAAGGCAGUGGCCGCUGGCUCCUCUCCCAAAUGCACUGAUGGGAAUGUGGUUUGGCAGCACAGGACACAUGGAUGUGCAGAGGUGACUGCUGGCCAUGGUUGUGCUCUUUGCUGUAAAAGGAGGCCCUCACCAGUUCAACACACCGUGUAUAAGAGCAUGCAAUUGUUCUUGUGAAUGGGCAGGAGAAGGGGACACAAAAACAGAUGCCCUGAGGGGGAUGAAUGCAGAGCUUGUGUUGGUGACACAGGACACAAGAAUUGCAGGGCAGACACAAUCCACCACCAUGCCCCUCGAAUUCCUACACCAGCAAUUCCUCUCUCCCUCAGCAGACCUCUUAGUUCUCUACAUCUAUUCAUUUCCUUCUGAUUCUCUCUCCCUCCAAUCCUUAAAUAUCUCUGCAAGCCACUGGAAGGGAAAGGAGAUCAAACUAUGCUGCCAGAUGCAGCAGUGAUGGGAUUGAGAGCGUGAUGGAUACGAGGCUGCAGCCCAGGAAUUUUUCUGCCUCUGUUAAAGGAGUAAUGGGAAAAGGGACAGACUGUGACAGUGUACAUCUAUUGGGCAUGCAAGUACUGAGGUAUAUUCUCAUUAAAGAAUAAACCCUCAAAUUUAAUGCUCCCCAAACCAUUUGAAGAACUUGUCUUUUUAUCUAUUAAAUGGCAUGGGUUUUGAAUGUGGGAGCAACUUCCAUGAUAAAUCUUAAUAGCACCUGACACAGAUUAACCUCACCUUCAUGGGUGUAUCUA